Molecule: non-coding RNA, 108 nt
Organism: Cherax quadricarinatus
Lineage: Eukaryota; Metazoa; Arthropoda; Malacostraca; Decapoda; Parastacidae
Source: RefSeq, a predicted model, not a curated record
AUGUAUUGCUUCGGCAGUACAUAUACUUAAAAAUUGGAACGAUACAGAGAAGAUUAGCAUGGCCCCCGCAAGAAUGACACAAAAAAAUCUGAAGCGUUCCCCCAUUUU